CGUUGUCCAAACAGAUGCCUUUCAUGAAAAAAUAUAAAUACAAUUAAAAAUUGUUAGGUAGUCAUUAAAGGCUAAUAAUCAUCUUAAUUCCACUUAGAUGAAAGAAAUGUGAUUAGAAUCAGCAGAGAAGGUGCUGCAAAGGGAUGCAGAGCAAGUUAGAAGAACAGAAUGGAGGAAACAAAGCCCCCUUUAUCUAAGACUGUCUCCUCCUUAUCAGUGCAGAUGGGCAUUCGUCACAUAACAUUCUCUUCUGCUUCGUUUUCAGAUCAUGUCUUUACUUCUGAAGAACUUCUUGCCGGAGCUGUCUCUAAAGAAGUCUUGCUUUAAAAGAAAAUACCUCUUGGUUGUAUUUAACUGCAUUGAAGAUGAUUUUUUGGUUUCUAUACAGAAAUCUUUUCAAGGACUGCACUGCAAGCAUACUGAAAUCAUGAGGUAAUUCAGACAUGUGACAAAGAUCUCAGACUCCUUAAGACAAAUUCUUCCAUCUGGAUUCCACUCUAGUGAUGCUUUUGGGUCAGAGCAAAAAAAAACCCAACCCUAUACCUCACCCCUUUCCACUCAGGUGGUCCACUCUGGUCUUGGUAAUGUCUGUGAUGGGCCACUGGCACCACUCAUUCUCCUGGCAGGCUUUCCUGCUUGGUCCCCUGUGGGAGUGUGGUGAGGCCUCAGUGGUAGCAUGGGGGAGGGAAAAAGAGGGCUCAUUGCAAGUGCAACCUAAAAACCUCCCUGCAGCUGGAGCAGGACUAGCACACCCCUAUGGUAGUUAGUCUCCAGGCCAGGCUUCAGGACCCCCAGUUGCCACAGGAAACUUCCUGUGGAGGUAGGCAACACAUUUACCUGUGGUACCACAAAAGGGAAUCCUUUCAGGGGUGGGAGGCCCCACCAGAAGAGAACACACCAUGGGCAACUGAUCACCUGUAGGGGAAAACACAUGUGGUGCCCUGGUAGCCAAAUUUUUGAGCAGAUACAGACCCAAAAUCCAUUGCAAGGGCAGCAGUGGUCAUGGAGGAUCCUAGGGAGCAUGAGGGGACAUUGCCCAAAAUACUAAGGUACGUGGCCAAGUACCAGCAGGCCUAGAACCCCAGCUUGCCUGGGAAAUACCUACAAAAGGGUAGCCAGCAGGGGCCAGGUGAAGCACAUCUCACCGAACGCAGAACACUGAAGUAAAGCAUUGGGUGUGGAUAGCAUCAGUGCCCUGCUUGCCUGUAUUCUGUGAGUAUCAUUAUUGUUAAGGUGUGCAUUCAUCAGCCAAGAUGUCCUCACCAUGCUCCCACAGGGGACCAAGCAGGCAAA
Alligator mississippiensis (American alligator) is the source of this 1293-nucleotide long non-coding RNA. RefSeq lists it as uncharacterized. Lineage: Eukaryota; Metazoa; Chordata; Crocodylia; Alligatoridae. The record is from RefSeq and is a predicted model, not a curated record. The transcript is spliced from 3 exons.